UCUCGAUCACGGAUGACGAGAACCAAAAGAUAUUUCCUAAAAUACACUAAGUUUAUUUGAUGCUUUUUUUACUUCCUAUGCUCUUAAGAUCUCAUCACUGAAAAGUCGGACACUUUAGCAUGCUCUUAGAGGUCGAUUAAUUUUUUGAAGAUACGUCACUAUGNCAACAUAGUAGUACGUGCCUAUGACUUAUNGUAAGGUAUUUGACACCUUCAUUACAACGGAUACGAGUACUUCCACUUUUUCAUGCUCANAAUAGCACAUUUGCAUGACUGAGAGACUCCGAAAUGAAGUGUAUUUUUNGUGGCUUGAAAUACACAAAGAAAUUUUUAGAUCUUUUCCUGCCGUGGAUUGUAUCAGAGUUGCGAAUUGAAGGCCGUCAGCUUUGCAAACUCACAGUGAGUAGAUUUUUACCUGCCUUGCUUCCAGGUUGUUAACGUUGUGUGUAUUGGGUCAGAGGUACCUGGAAUGCAAGGAACUAAAACCUCUAGCACACACACAACUACACGAGAUACAAGAAGUAACACGACAAACAAGUCAUGACAAAACUAGUCCCAAAACUUUGCCUGCGAAUCUGAACGGCGUGCAGCUAAACUACGACUCCCUCAUGAUACACACGAUGAAGCCUGUUGGUGAGCAAUACUCAAGUAACGGAGGCACGAGUAGGAUAGAAAAAAGGAAAGCAAAACAAGAUACACCAUUGGACCUUGUGUUGCCCGGAAUUGAAGGCUUCCUUAAGGAUGUCCUACGACAAGAAAGUCUCAGCGAUGAAGGAGAGGAAUUACGACGUUUCUAUAUCAAAAUCCUUGAAAAUACUACAGAAAAUUCUACAGAUAUAAUAGAGACUUUUGAUAUAAAUAAAAAUGAUCCAAGUCCACUAAAAACGCCUCCGAUAACAGGGUCCUGUUUUACGUACGACGACGAGGGCACCUCAGAGGACAAACUACUUGAUCGACAAGAUUACUCAAAGGAGAGACAAGCUUCAAAGGAACCAGUUUCAAAUGUGCCUCGACAAGACCGCAAAGGAACUGACAGCACAGAAGAAAGUGGAGUAUUUUUCAACUCUCACUACGCCUCGUCUGGUGGCCAAGAGGUUUCCAACCCUCGCCACUCGGAUACAUUCGAGUCGACAUCUUCACGAGACACAUUCUUGUCUGAUUCAGACUUUGAACUUUUAGAAUGGGAAAAUGACUCAAUUGUCAACGAGGAUGGCUAUUGCACCGAAGACAACUUGGAAAAUUCUGUACAAAAUAUGCAAUUUCAUCCCAACGAGUUUGGGGAGAUUUAUUCGGGUGUUUUGUACAUCCGAGAACAACCUGGAUGGCAUAAGCGCUGGUUUACGGUUACAGAACGAUGCAUGAAAUGUUAUAAAUACAAAACAGACGAUAAAAUGCUAUUUGAAAUUCCUCUACGGGAUGGGAAGUUCGUUUCUACAGACCGUAAGAGAAGUCGAAUGUUUCCCAUGACUCUGUCGAUAGCAAGACUAAAGGACAGCAUUACGUUUGCUACCACAGAAGAAAAAUCAAGACAGGAAUGGAUAUUCGUCAUCAAUCACGUAAUGAACAAGCUAACUGAGAACCCUUCAGAAAGUCCUAGCCCUGUUGAUAUUAAAGAUGUGCCAUUUAGUUCGUUACUACGGGCCGAAAGUCUCGAGGAACGUCGUGGUAAAGGUUCCUCGUCAGAGAAUUUUCCAGAACAUUCUAAAACACACAUUGUAGAAACCCGGUCGGAGAGUUUAAAGAGAAAAACCUGGCACGCUGGAGUGGAUAAAGGUUUCAAAGAUGUUAUGAAUCAAUGGAGAGUAAAAGGAGAAGAUGAAACUGAUGACAUGGAGCCGCCUUCUCUUGCACAGGAAGAAUCUUUCAAAGAGUUGCAAGAGUGUUUACCUGAUAUUUUACAAAGACCAAAAUCAAAAAGCUGGAGAGGAGAUUUAGAGAACAAUCAUCUUCCUUCAUCGAAGAAAGGCCUGACAGGCCCGGGAUCUACUCAAAACCGCAAAAAUAUUACUUUCAACGCAGAAGUAGAAAACAAGCAGAGUUCGAACUCAGAUCUCACUAAUGUUCCUCGAGUCAAGAGACAUGGGUCUUUGGCGAACUCUCUUACAAACAAAGCAGCGCGAGUAAGGUCGAAGUUGACCACAUCGUUUUUCAAGAAAGGAAAAAAGGAAGAGAGAGUUUACCAACAAGCUGAAUCUCAAAACACGAUAUUUUCUGGAUACCUCAUAAGGAAGAAAGGCAACGUGUGGAAAAAUCGAUGGUGUGUAGUCAAGAAUCACUCNCUGUAUAGUUUUAAGGAAUUUGGAGCACCAUUGGCAGAACUGGAACUCACCCUGUUUGGGUGCGGAGUUAAAGCGUUACCCGAGGGGGAGAAGCCGUUUAUGUUUGUACUGAUAGCUGACAAGGAGCAGCUUUACUUUGCUGUGGAAAAUGAUGCGGAGUUGGAAGAAUGGCUCGUCGUGCUUGAAAAUGAGGCAAGGAGGGCUGAAAAAGAAGAUGAUGAAAUAAACAUUUAUCCAACAGAUUCACUCGAUGGCGCCAUGUUGACAACACUAUCGUCCCCAGACUCCCCUCAGGAAUCACAAAAAUCGUUUGAACCACAACCUGAANUGACCGAAGAACAAGAAAAACCACAAGUAACGAAAAGGGCACAUUCAUUCACUAGAGCAUCCAAAGAAACAUCACAAAUACAAGGCCCAAAGAGAUCUUCUUUGCUAGGUGCCCUUGCCCAUAAACUUGCAAAACAAUCGUCUAAAUCCAAGGUCUCAACUGAUUCUGAACUUGAUGACAAAGCAAGGAGAGAGCUGCAACCAAAUGAAAUUGAAAAUCUUGUAUUACCUAAUCAACAACCUCAAACCGAGGCAGAAAAAAGUGUAACUGAGAAUGGUCCAACGAUGAAAGGAACUUUAUAUUAUCGACCCGUGGAUACUUGGCUAAAAAGCAAGGUCAAUCUUCAGAAUCAUUCACUUGAUAUUGAACCCGAAAUCGAUUUCACAGACUCCAUCAAACAAUUUGAAACUCUAAAGUUCAGGCUCGUUAACUGUCUAGUGCUAGACUGUACAGACACAGAAGGACCACUAAUUAUGGUCGUCAAGAGAGCCAUUGGACAACCGCUGUACCUGCGGGCUGAAACUGAAGAAGAUUACGUCGCAUGGAAGGACGCUAUUUCCUCUGCUAUCCUCACCACUUCUUUAACUAAGGACCGUUUAUUGUCGAGCGAGAGUGGGUGCGAAGGCGAUGAUUCAUGCACAACAGCAACCCCAAGUAGCUCGAAGAUUUCUGGAGACUCUUUCGAUAGGGAUGAUGUUUUCUUCAAAGACAUCACUGUACAAGAACAUCUGGUGAAUCACAAUCCAGAGCCUCAUCCGUCGCCUAGGGCAACUACAGCUGGCGAUGUGUCAAGCGAAAGUAGCGUAGAUGAUCAUCAUAGUAAAGCAAGAGUUCAAAUCAAAAGAGCAUAUUCGGCUGGUGGGAUUGAUAGGAUUCGUUCGUUAUCUGAAGGAUACUUGGUUCAUUCCAAGAAAAGACAGAGUCCCCUACGUCGUACUAUCUCAAAUGCUUUGACCAUUCUGGACCUUUCAUCUACGAAACGACGAAGAAAAACAUUUGGUGGCCUUGGUGUUAAUGCAUCCCUUCUCAUUGGUAUUAAGUACACAUCUUGCUUAUAUUUUCGUGUCAACAAGGGACCUUGGUCAGAACGCUGGNGUGUUCUGCAGCAGAACAAUCUACACUUCUUUAAGAACUCUGAAGACAUUUAUCCAUGCUCUACUAUGAAGCUUGAAGAUUGUGUUGUGGAAAAAACAAGCUUUAAAGGAAAGAAGUUUGCGUUCGUGGUGAAGCUGCCGUUGGAUAAAAAACAGUAUUGCUUCUCUGCGGAAAGUGAACGAGAAUUGGAUAUUUGGAUUAGAUUACUACAAGCUGAAAGGGAUGUCCAAAGACCAAACGAAAACCCUCUGGCCACAUUUGACCUUCUUAAUGGCGUCUUACCAAAGAUAAAAAGCGAAGGUAACAUUAAUAAUGCAAGUAGACCAGACGUUGCUGUAGUGGAUGAGAAGAAGGUCGACUCCACAAAAAAGAUGCGAAAGAUGUCCAAGUCUCUGAACGAACUGAGAAAAAUAAGAGAAGCAGGCGAUAAAAAGGACCUUUUUAAGGAUUCUAAUGGUAGCUCAAUGAGGUCUUCUUCUACAAUUACACGCAAACCUACCUCGCUACCGGAGGUUUUACUUCUGCUUCAAGAGCAACAGCGUAUGCAAAGUAUGGGUCACCAAAGGUACGCACGAGUCACAAAGGCACGAGGAAAUUGGAAGAAAUCAGCGGCUGCUGUCUUAAGAGGUGCAAACUCACAACCAGAGUCUCCUGAACUUCCUAAAAAACAUUCAGAUGUCAAAGAAAAGAAGGAUAAGAUUGAAAUAGUGCCACAAGGAAAACCUAGAGGAUCUUCAACAGGGUCAGUUUCUUCGAAAGAUUAUGCAAAUGUUUUGUCUUCUUAUCAGACGUCGGAAGAGUACUUGGGGAAAUGCGACAAGUUGGCUGAAGAAGAAAAACUAAAAGCAUUAAAAACCGAAACUUUGUUGCGAAAAAGGAGAAAUUCGUUGAAUUUAGAGAAAGGGGCUCUCCAGAAGAAGCUCGAAAAAACGCACGAGAAAAAGGGCGCAAUGAAGAAAUUACUUGCAAAAGAUGUCGUUAAGAAUAAAGAGGAAAUUAUUAGGGACCAGAAGAGACUUGAGGAAAUUAAUCUUAAACUUGCUCAUGUUGAUAAGGAUAUGAGGGAGAAUAGAAGUAAAGAAGCUGCUGUAAUGGAAAACCUUACUGCCUUGAAAACUAACNCUAGACCAAGACGAUCUUCAGAAAAUUACGAGUCUUUAAGAAGUUCCAUCGAUGCUACUACUCGGUCAGUUCAAGACGAAAGGAGAGCCAAGUUCAUGGAGUCUCCUACAGGAUCGAUAUCUUCUCGUGAUUCAUUCGAUGAUAAGAACGAACUAUACCGGCCUUCUGUCCCAGAAAGUGGUACGUCGCUUCCUCGUAAAGGCUCCAAGAAGAAAUGCCAGGCAUCGCUUUUAGUGUUGGAAGAAGAGUUACAGAAGAUAUCCCCAAAUGUGUCAAGAAGAAAAAAGUACGGAAGUGGAAAGAGAGUGUCCUCGUCUUCGGAAGGAUCCUUUGAUGACAGUUCCUUUAAGGAAUCGCCUGGGACAAGUCGACAAUAUUCAAAUGCACCCGAAGAGAAACGAGAAUCUAUUACAUCUGUUGGAUCACAGGAUUCUCAAGACAAGAAUUACGGAUGGGACAAUGUGGAACUUAAGAGAAAAAGAUACAGUGGAUCACUCCCUACUUUAGCAAAUACCGACUUUCAUUCAGUGGCAGUAUCUAUCCCAACUACCAGCACUACAGACGAUACAGAUGCCCCUCCUGUUAGCAACGAGCAUCGCCCAAGUCUUAUAACUGCGUUGUCUCAGAUUAAGGAUUUUGAAGAAUUCUUAAAAAUCCACCGAAGUCGGUAACGUAAAGCUAUGAUCUAAAGAUGUAACCGUGCUAUUGGUUAAUGCACGAGGUGUUUAGCUAUCACGUGAUCACUCCAAUGAAGAAUAUCACGUGAUCAUGGUUAACCUCGUAUUUCAAGAUUUGACUGAAAUGUUCACCUGUUCCAGUGGAAUUUCCAAGUGUUUCUGCUGUUGAAGUUGUGCAUUUUUUUACUUUAUAAUUGGUAUUUGUAAAUUAGGCCCCGUCCACACGUAUCCGGAAAUUUUUGUAUCAGCAAAAUUUUUUUUGCUGAUACGAAAAUAUUUGCGUCC
This 5785-nucleotide unclassified non-coding RNA is filed under the name Actinia tenebrosa (Australian red waratah sea anemone). RNAcentral's name for it is "uncharacterized LOC116304796, transcript variant X2". The record is from RNAcentral. Lineage: Eukaryota; Metazoa; Cnidaria; Anthozoa; Actiniaria; Actiniidae.